This 78-nucleotide unclassified non-coding RNA is filed under the name Acartia pacifica. Its description in RNAcentral is "partial trans-spliced leader sequence". The record is from RNAcentral. Lineage: Eukaryota; Metazoa; Arthropoda; Copepoda; Calanoida; Acartiidae.
UCACUUCAUUAAGAGGUGUGUAUCCAAGUAAUUCCCCAAGGAAAAGGGGUUUUCUGCUGGACUGAUGAGAGUCCUUUU